CGCGGCCUAUCAGCUUGUUGGUGGGGUAAUGGCCUACCAAGGCGUCGACGGGUAGCUGGUCUGAGAGGACGAUCAGCCACACUGGGACUGAGACACGGCCCAGACUCCUACGGGAGGCAGCAGUGGGGAAUACUGCGCAAUGGGCGAAAGCCUGACGCAGCGACGCCGCGUGCGGGAAGACGGCCUUAGGGUUGUAAACCGCUUUCAGCAGGGACGAAAUUGACGGUACCUGCAGAAGAAGCCCCGGCCAACUACGUGCCAGCAGCCGCGGUAAUACGUAGGGGGCAAGCGUUGUCCGGAAUUAUUGGGCGUAAAGAGCUCGUAGGUGGUUUGUCGCGUCUGCUGUGAAAGUCCGAGGCUUAACCUCGGAUCUGCAGUGGGUACGGGCAGACUAGAGUGCGGUAGAGGAGAUCGGAAUUCCUGGUGUAGCGGUGGAAUGCGCAGAUAUCAGGAGGAACACCGGUGGCGAAGGCGGAUCUCUGGGCCGUAACUGACGCUGAGGAGCGAAAGCAUGGGGAGCAAACAGGCUUAGAUACCCUGGUAGUCCAUGCCGUAAACGUUGGGCACUAGGUGUGGGACCCUAUCCACGGGUUCCGUGCCGCAGCUAACGCAUUAAGCGCCCCGCCUGGGGAGUACGG
Molecule: ribosomal RNA, 638 nt
Filed under: uncultured Actinomycetes bacterium
Lineage: Bacteria; Bacillati; Actinomycetota; Actinomycetes
Description: bacterial SSU rRNA
Rfam family: Bacterial small subunit ribosomal RNA
Source: RNAcentral